AUCAACGUGGCGCAGUGGAAGCGUGCUGGGCCCAUAACCCAGAGGUCGGUGGAUUGAAACCAUUCGGUGCCA
Non-coding RNA from Ditylenchus destructor, 72 nucleotides. The record is from the annotation of a GenBank genome assembly. Lineage: Eukaryota; Metazoa; Nematoda; Chromadorea; Rhabditida; Anguinidae.